RNAcentral lists this ribosomal RNA (422 nucleotides) under uncultured bacterium. RNAcentral's name for it is "bacterial SSU rRNA". It matches the Rfam family "Bacterial small subunit ribosomal RNA", at positions 358 to 773 of the family's 1533-position model. The record is from RNAcentral.
AGAAUUUUUCACAAUGGGCGCAAGCCUGAUGGAGCGACGCCGCGUGGGGGAUGAAGGGUUUCGAUCCGUAACCCCCUGUCAUUUGCGAACAAACCUUGAGGGUGAACAGCCUUCAAGCUGAUUGUAGCGAAAGAGGAAGGGCCGGCUAACUCUGUGCCAGAAGCCGCGGUCAUACAGAGGUCCCAAGCGUUGUUCGGAUUCACUGGGCGUAAAGGGUGCGUAGGUGGCCGUGGAAGUUCGGUGUGAAAGCUCGGAGCUCAACUCCGAAAUGGCAUUGAAUACUCUACGGCUGGAGGGUCGGAGGGGAGACUGGAAUUCUCGGUGUAGCAGUGAAAUGCGUAGAUAUCGAGAGGAACACCAGUGGCGAAGGCGAGUCUCUGGACGACACCUGACACUGAGGCACGAAAGCUAGGGGAGCAAAC